RNAcentral lists this ribosomal RNA (578 nucleotides) under uncultured Panulirus. Its description in RNAcentral is "SSU rRNA". It matches the Rfam family "Eukaryotic small subunit ribosomal RNA", at positions 583 to 1155 of the family's 1831-position model. The record is from RNAcentral. Lineage: Eukaryota; Metazoa; Arthropoda; Malacostraca; Decapoda; Palinuridae.
UUCCAGCUCCAAUAGCGUAUAUUAAAGUUGUUGCGGUUAAAAAGCUCGUAGUUGGAUUUCAGUUCCGGACUGACGGUUCACCGCCCGGUGCCUACUGUCACGCUCCGAACAGCCGCACCGCCGGCUUGCACGGGGUGCUCUUCAUCGAGUGUCCCGAGUGGCCGGCACGUUUACUUUGAAAAAAUUAGAGUGCUCAGAGCAGGCUCCUUGAAUGGCCUGAAUGUCUAUGCAUGGAAUAAUGGAAUAGGACCUCGGUUCUAUUUUGUUGGUUUUCGGAACCCGAGGUAAUGACUAAUAGGAACAGGCGGGGGCAUUCGUAUUGCGACGCUAGAGGUGAAAUUCUUGGACCGUCGCAAGACGAACUACUGCGAAAGCAUUUGCCAAGGAUGUUUUCAUUAAUCAAGAACGAAAGUUAGAGGUUCGAAGGCGAUCAGAUACCGCCCUAGUUCUAACCAUAAACGAUGCUGACUAGCGAUCCGCCGGCGUUAUUCCCAUGACCCGGCGGGCAGCUUCCGGGAAACCAAAGUCUUUGAGUUCCGGGGGAAGUAUGGUUGCAAAGCUGAAACUUAAAGGAAUUG